UUUGAUCUCACGGUCGAGAGAAGCAAGCAAAACCAGUUUCUUCUUCUUCAAACAACCCGAUUUUCAUGCCCAUGAUCUCUCCUUAUUAUUAUCUGGUUAUCCCGCAUUAAUUGGCCCAAACAAAUCUACCCCAGUCCCCAUCUCUCGGCUCAACGACGUGCUACUCCGCCUCGCCGUCCUGGCUCUCUCCUCAUCUAACCUCUCCGCGGCGCCUCCGCUCAACCAAACCGGUGUGUCGUGGACUAGGACGGGUGAAGGACCUGCCAGUGGAUGCCCUCGCGAGCUCCCAUUCGUGUUGAUCUCCACCACGGCCAGCCGACGAGGCCCUACUCCAUUGUAUGUCUGCGGCCCACCUCGUCAGAAUGAAGCCAUCACAACUGAAGUUCCGCAGGACUCGCCCACCCAAUACCAAUCUGACCUAGCGUUUGAUUCGUCUCGCUUGACACUGUUCAUAUUUUUGUGUUACUAGUUAAUUUUGGCAUAACUGUGUUCUCAGAUUUCUGUGAUCUCGUUGCGUGGAUACUAUAGUGUACUAUGGUUUUUUCUAUGUCUACGAGUGUGAAACUGUGAUGUAUGUAUAUUCUGUACGCGUCACUAGGAUGAUCAACUAAUUUAUAUGAAAUUCGUAUAUCGUACAAAAUGUAUGGUGCUAAUGCUAGUUUUUGUUCCAUUUUAUAUUUCCAUGGUUUCAAGUGAUACUACUUAUGUACCCAAUUUCUUUUUUCGUGUUACUACAAUGUAAUCGUUUGGCUAGAUGGUAUCUCACGCAUGAAUCAAGUGCAAAUCCAUCAACUGUACAUGUCGGCGACACAAAAGAUGCAUCCUUAUGUUGGCCGCAAGCUUAUUUUAUUUCAUUGUCAUUGUUUUAUACUAUGCUUCCAACCAAGGUGAGUAAUGUUGAGUUGUCAUAUUUUCAUCCUUCCUACCUUUUCCCUUAUUGUCUUAAACAAAUAAUCUUCUAAACUGUGUUUAGUAGCCAUCUUCAUGCCUCCGCUCAUUCCCUCAAUGUCAACAUGUUCGUAUUUGCUAACAUAGCACAUAUAUUAUGUUUUCAGUGGAGCUGCAGCAAUGAAGCAUAGAGAAGCAUACGGUAUGCUUCUUGCCAUCCACCACACCGCCCAUGUUCUCUCCGACAACACCGCCCUAAUUCCAUUCGUGGUCCAUCGUGCUUCGAACCCACCUGCACCGGUUCCACCCAAAUGUUCAAUUGCAGGGACCUGGCCAAGAGGGAUGCAUCAACGUUGGCAACAAUCUUUGUUUGUUUACAUCUCCAAUUAAUGUUCUAUGUUUCCACUUAAUUAGGGCCAUAACGAGACAAGAUAUUUUUAUUUCUUCAUGUAUAUGGUGUUCCCAUAUUACACUUCACGUGCUUUUUCGGUUUAUGUAGAUUGCUUCCAUACUUUAUGUGUUUUACUUUACAAAAUUUGUUCUUGCCAUUGGUAUCACCAUUGAAACAUGCAAUGCUCUCAUUGUAUGCUACAUAUGUUUCCUAGUUCUAGGUAGUUUGCUUCUAAAAUAGUUCAAAUUUGUUUGCAUAAUUGUAACGUAAACAUUAUCUACAUCCUUAAUAAUGUACAUCUAGUACCAAUUGUUGAUUCCAACAUAUAAUACCUAUGCAUCAUGCCUAACUAAUAUAUGCUUCAAUCAGUUGUCUGCUGGCUUAGGGUCCGACUGGCGUUGUCAAGGCAGGUACAUGGAGACACCUGGAUCUACCUCAGAAUGAACACAACCACACACUAGAUGAAGGGAAGCAAAUCUCUAGUUUUUAGGAAAUAUACAGUAUGGAAGUAUCGUACUAUUGGCGACUUGAAGGAAUAUGUUGUAUCAUUGGAUGAAGCAAGGAAACAAAUUUAUGUUAGCUUAGGAGCAAAUUAGUUCUGCGAUGGAAGCACUUUGUUUGGUGGGUGGAAACAAAAAAAAUUCUAGUAUUGGACACAAAUAAAAGAUAUAUUUGGCACAAACUUUUCCAUGUUGAAAUAGUUUAUUGGAUGCAAAAUUUUAUUAGAUUGAUGUGAAUUUUUUGGACACAAAUUUUACACGUCCUAGCAAAUUUCAAUUACAAUAGAAACAAAUUGUUUCGCCGAUGAAAGAAAUUUUUUAUUCUGAUGGAAAUAAAAAUAAAGAGACAUAAAUUUCAUCACAUCAAAGCGAUAAACGCUUUGUAGUAUAAUGAUAAACGCUUGUAUCCGCUUGAUCUACAUUUUGAGUAAAUCAGUUUUUAUCCAAAAAUGUGAUAAACAGAAAUUUUCUAAGAAUCCAACAAAUUUGUUGAAUAUAGUUUUUCCAAGAUAAACAAGUAUAUAUGGAAUAACUAGUGAGACAUCUUACUUUUUUUGAAUGAUGGAAGCAGAACUAGCCUGUUCAAAAUCGGUUCUAGUAAGAAGCACCGCUCCCAAAAUUAAUUGUUUGGCGCAAGUUAUGGAGCAGUUAUAGGGAUCACGUAAUAAUAGCUAUACGUCAGACUAUCACUCCUCUUAUACAGAUAUAUAACAUCCAUUAGCUACUAAUCCAUUGGCCAUGCAAAGGUCUGAUGGGACGCUAGGCAUGAGUAGUUUGAUAUCUAGGGGUAACAUGGGCCGGACAAAGAACUGAACUAAAUGUCUCUAUUGCUAGACGAUUCUCAUCAAAGCCGGCUAACUAUGCAAGCGCGUUAACUUGAAGAGCAUUCUAGGUCCGACUCAAACAAAAUUUGAACGUCUACAAAUUAAUUUAAAUAUUUUUAUACUAAACUUUUAUAUUUUAUAAAUUUAAUUUUUCUAUAUUAUAGUCUUAACAAGUAUACAUUUUUUGUUAGGUCAUAUAGUUAACAACAUAACGAUGAAGGUAUAUAUUACUUAUGCCAAAUAUGAGAAAUAAAAAGGGGGGAUAGUGUUCUUAUGUUCAAUGGAAAAUAAUUUUCAUGGGCAAAACACCAUUUGCCAUAUGGUCUCAUAUGAAUGGAUUAAAGAGAAAUUUUGCAACAAUUUUCCCACGAGAUCUCUUGCUUAUAAUUUUUUUUGUUAUCAUGCAUAUGAAAUGGACUAAGGACAAUUGCAUUAGUUAUGUUGCAUAUACAUAUUACUUGUGUGGAUGUGCACUUAUUUGGAUAUGUUGUAAUAUCACUAAUAUUAUAGUAGGGAUAUCUAAAGGUGUGUAGUUAAAAAAAUAUCAUAAUAGUGGUUUCUAGUAUACAUAUUUAUGGAAACUUCUAGAGUAUAUAGAUUGAACCAUUCACAAAUGUGUAUUGCAAGUUGGGUUCAACAACCUCUCGAUAACAUGUGGGUUCAAUAGUAAGUCAACGACAUAUGCAUGCUCUGAAAUUUGUGUUGAGAUAACAUUGUUUACAGG
Molecule: long non-coding RNA, 3327 nt
Filed under: Hordeum vulgare
Lineage: Eukaryota; Viridiplantae; Streptophyta; Magnoliopsida; Poales; Poaceae
Description: long non-coding RNA (HVUL_LNC021255)
Source: RNAcentral